RNAcentral lists this transfer RNA (68 nucleotides) under Cebus albifrons (white-fronted capuchin). Its description in RNAcentral is "tRNA-Val". It matches the Rfam family "tRNA". Rfam says of the family: Transfer RNA (tRNA) molecules are approximately 80 nucleotides in length. Lineage: Eukaryota; Metazoa; Chordata; Mammalia; Primates; Cebidae. The record is from RNAcentral. RNAcentral also lists the same sequence under 1 other name.
CAAAGUGUAGCUUAAAUUAAAGCAUCCGGCCUACACCCGGAAGAUCUCACAACAACCGAUCACUUUGA